UUGGGAGUAGGUAGUUAUGCGUAAAGUGCAGACGGAACGGAAUGUGAACGUCUGACGAAAACUUAGGUUGCGAUGUAACUGCCGCAUUCGCCACA
This is a regulatory RNA element of 95 nucleotides. It matches the Rfam family "THF (Tetrahydrofolate) riboswitch aptamer". Rfam says of the family: THF riboswitch presents a pseudoknot that joins P1-P2 and the loop of P3 and two THF binding. The record is from Rfam.